CCUGAAAGUGUAAACAAGAGGAUGUUAGUCUGAGGAGCCUUGGGCGAUUUUGGCUUGGAGUUAAAUGUCGAUCUUUUUGCGGGAGACAGGCCAUUGUCUAAUUGGCGGAAACCGAAGCAAUUCAUGAUCAGCUUGAUCGGAGGAAGGUUCAGCCACCCUUCGAAAUAGUGGACUUCCCGACUCAAUGCCAGCCUCUCUAGCCGACAGUGGUGCUUUGCCUUCUGGUCGAGGGCCCCUUCAUCUUGGAAGGGAUUCUUUGGGGCCGACGACGGCCCGUUUCCAUGAUGUUUUAGUCUUUACCAACGACAAUGAAUCAUAACACCUUUGUUCAGGCAAUCGUUCUAGAAUGUUUUACAUAGUGUGGAGCUAUCCUCCGAAUAUCUAUGGAAUAGUUUCUUGUGAACUCAA
Long non-coding RNA from Tigriopus californicus, 408 nucleotides. RefSeq lists it as uncharacterized. The record is from RefSeq and is a predicted model, not a curated record. The transcript is spliced from 2 exons. NCBI's taxonomy places the organism in Eukaryota, Metazoa, Arthropoda, Copepoda, Harpacticoida, Harpacticidae.